Molecule: ribosomal RNA, 1478 nt
Filed under: Pelagibacterales bacterium SAG-MED08
Lineage: Bacteria; Pseudomonadati; Pseudomonadota; Alphaproteobacteria; Candidatus Pelagibacterales
Description: bacterial SSU rRNA
Rfam family: Bacterial small subunit ribosomal RNA
Source: RNAcentral
AACUUGAGAGUUUGAUCAUGGCUCAGAACGUACGCUGGCGGCACGCCUAACACAUGCAAGUCGAACGAAGUAGCAAUACUUAGUGGCAGACGGGUGAGUAACAUGUAGGUAUCUGCCCUUUGGCCUGGAAUAACACGAGGAAACUUGUGCUAAUACCGGAUAAGUCUUUACGGAGAAAGCUUUAUGCACCAUUGGAUGAGCCUGCACUUGAUUAGUUUGUUGGUGGGGUAAUGGCCUACCAAGACUGUGAUCAAUAGCUGAUUUGAGAGGAUGAUCAGCCACAUUGGGACUGAGACACGGCCCAAACUCCUACGGGAGGCAGCAGUGGGGAAUCUUGCACAAUGGAGGAAACUCUGAUGCAGCGAUGCCGCGUGAGUGAAGAAGGCCUUUGGGUUGUAAAGCUCUUUCGUCGGGGAAGAAAAUGACUGUACCCGAAUAAGAAGGUCCGGCUAACUUCGUGCCAGCAGCCGCGGUAAUACGAAGGGACCUAGCGUAGUUCGGAAUUACUGGGCUUAAAGAGUUCGUAGGUGGUUGAAAAAGUUAGUGGUGAAAUCCCAGAGCUUAACUCUGGAACUGCCAUUAAAACUUUUCAGCUAGAGUAUGAUAGAGGAAAGCAGAAUUUCUAGUGUAGAGGUGAAAUUCGUAGAUAUUAGAAAGAAUACCAAUUGCGAAGGCAGCUUUCUGGAUCAUUACUGACACUGAGGAACGAAAGCAUGGGUAGCGAAGAGGAUUAGAUACCCUCGUAGUCCAUGCCGUAAACGAUGUGUGUUAGACGUUGGAAAUUUAUUUUCAGUGUCGCAGCGAAAGCGAUAAACACACCGCCUGGGGAGUACGACCGCAAGGUUAAAACUCAAAUGAAUUGACGGGGACCCGCACAAGUAGUGGAGCAUGUGGUUUAAUUCGAAGAUACGCGCAGAACCUUACCAACACUUGACAUGUUCGUCGCGACUCUAAGAGAUUAGAGUUUUCGGUUCGGCCGGACGAAACACAGGUGCUGCAUGGCUGUCGUCAGCUCGUGUCGUGAGAUGUUGGGUUAAGUCCCGCAACGAGCGCAACCCUCACUUUUAGUUGCCAUCAUUAAGUUGGGCACUCUGAAAGAACUGCCAGUGAUAAGCUGGAGGAAGGUGGGGAUGACGUCAAGUCCUCAUGGCCCUUACGUGUUGGGCUACACACGUGCUACAAUGGUAUCUACAACAGGAAGCAAGACUGCGAGGUCAAGCAAAUCCUUAAAAGAUACCUCAGUUCGGAUUGCACUCUGCAACUCGAGUGCAUGAAGCUGGAAUUACUAGUAAUCGUGGAUCAGCGUGCCACGGUGAAUGCGUUCCCGGGUCUUGUACACACCGCCCGUCACACCAUGGGAGUUGGUUCUACCUUAAGGCAAGGUUUCAAACCCUUGACCACGGUAUAGUCAGCGACUGGGGUGAAGUCGUAACAAGGUAGCCGUAGGGGAACCUGCGGCUGGAUUACCUCCUUUCUAA